Molecule: small nucleolar RNA, 90 nt
Organism: Sorghum bicolor (sorghum)
Lineage: Eukaryota; Viridiplantae; Streptophyta; Magnoliopsida; Poales; Poaceae
Rfam family: Small nucleolar RNA R38
About the family: snoR38 is a C/D box small nucleolar RNA conserved across yeast, human, Arabidopsis and rice. It is encoded in the intron of elongation factor-1 gamma in both pombe and cerevisiae. snoR38 guides the methylation of 2'-O-ribose sites in 28S rRNA.
Source: Rfam
AGGUGUGGAUGAUGAUAACAAAGUAAAAUACAGUUAUCCCUGUCUUAUUCCUUCCAAAGGGUGCUGAUAAAACUUUAUUCUGACACAACU